RNAcentral lists this long non-coding RNA (1287 nucleotides) under Anolis carolinensis (green anole). RNAcentral's name for it is "lncRNA (ENSACAG00000040267.1)". Lineage: Eukaryota; Metazoa; Chordata; Lepidosauria; Squamata; Anolidae. The record is from RNAcentral.
GCCAGUAGGCUAUUUCCUCUGUCUUGCCUUUUCCUUUGUUCAUCAAACCUCCCCCUGGGAAGAAGACAGGCUACACAAAAGAAAUAGCUUGCAUAAUCUUCUUACUAAACAUAUUGCCCUGGCGAGAGUCAGCUAAGAAGAAAAGGGCAAAGCAUUCCAGUCUCCUAGAAACUAUCAGGACAGACCAAAUCUAUUCAUAAUUUUUUUCAUUCACGAACCUCCAGAAAUCCACUUCACUCGUCUCCACUCAUUCAUAAAUUCUAGAAGUCCAUUCAUAAAUUUAUAUUUAAUAUUUCUCCUGCGAUCUUGCAAUCCCAGCAGAUUGCCACCCCAGGGAAAUCAAACAGACUGUGCCCCCUCCCACUUUUCCUUUCCAAAGUGUAACCUGGAAUGUCUGUCUAGCCACACCUGGAUGUGUAUAUUCAAUUAACAUAAUCUUACCACAACAGGACAGGGCGCAUAAGAUGUACGUGCUCAAGGCACACUCACACAAAGUACUCUGCACUUCUAUAUAUGAAGGCUGUUCUGACCCCAAUCUAUCUUAACUACCAUAUAUACUCGAGUAUAAGCAGACCCUAAUAUAAGCCGAGGCACCUAAUUUUACCACAAAAAAAACUGGGGAAACCUAUCGACUCGAAUAUAAGCUGAGGGUGGAAAAUGCAGCAGCUACUGGUAAGUUUCAAAAUGAAAAUAGAUCCCAAUGAAAUUAUUUUGAGGCAUCAGUAGGUUAAAGGCUUUUGAAUAUUUACCAUAUUUCAAAGAAAAAGUAAACUAGCUCUGUAAGUGGAAAAGUAGGGUCAACAAAAACAAUAUGGUAUUAACAAUAACAUAAUAAUAGUAAUGAUACAGUAGAGUCUCACUUAUCCAACACUGCUUAUCCAACGUUCUGGAUUAUCCAACGCAUUUUUGUAGUCAAUGUUUUCAAUACAUCGUGAUAUUUUGGUGCUAAAUUCGUAAAUACAGUAAUUACUACAUAGCAUUACUGCGUGUUGAACUACUUUUUCUGUCAAAUUUGUUGUAUAACAUGAUGUUUUGGUGCUUAAUUUGUAAAAUCAUAAUCUAAUUUGAUGUUUAAUAGGCUUUUCCUUAAUCUCUCCUUAUCAUCCAACAUAUUCGCUUAUCCAACAUUCUGCCGGCCCGUUUAUGUUGGAUAACUGAGACUCUACUGUAAUAAUAAUAAUAAUAAUAAUAAUAAUAAUAAUAAGGCCAUAAACACCUGGGCCAUACCUGUCAUUAGAUGUACUGCUGGCAUUAUAAACUGGACACAGGCAGAACUGGACAAUUUGG